Molecule: ribosomal RNA, 2908 nt
Filed under: Yersinia pestis
Lineage: Bacteria; Pseudomonadati; Pseudomonadota; Gammaproteobacteria; Enterobacterales; Yersiniaceae
Description: 23S ribosomal RNA
Rfam family: Bacterial large subunit ribosomal RNA
Source: RNAcentral
GGUUAAGCGACUAAGCGUACACGGUGGAUGCCUAGGCAGUCAGAGGCGAUGAAGGGCGUGCUAAUCUGCGAAAAGCGUCGGUAAGCUGAUAUGAAGCGUUAUAACCGACGAUACCCGAAUGGGGAAACCCAGUGCAAUACGUUGCACUAUCGUUAGAUGAAUACAUAGUCUAACGAGGCGAACCGGGGGAACUGAAACAUCUAAGUACCCCGAGGAAAAGAAAUCAACCGAGAUUCCCCCAGUAGCGGCGAGCGAACGGGGAGGAGCCCAGAGUCUGAAUCAGUUUGUGUGUUAGUGGAAGCGUCUGGAAAGUCGCACGGUACAGGGUGAUAGUCCCGUACACCAAAAUGCACAGGCUGUGAACUCGAUGAGUAGGGCGGGACACGUGACAUCCUGUCUGAAUAUGGGGGGACCAUCCUCCAAGGCUAAAUACUCCUGACUGACCGAUAGUGAACCAGUACCGUGAGGGAAAGGCGAAAAGAACCCCCGGCGAGGGGAGUGAAAUAGAACCUGAAACCGUGUACGUACAAGCAGUGGGAGCACCUUCGUGGUGUGACUGCGUACCUUUUGUAUAAUGGGUCAGCGACUUAUAUUUUGUAGCAAGGUUAACCGAAUAGGGGAGCCGUAGGGAAACCGAGUCUUAACUGGGCGUCUAGUUGCAAGGUAUAGACCCGAAACCCGGUGAUCUAGCCAUGGGCAGGUUGAAGGUUGGGUAACACUAACUGGAGGACCGAACCGACUAAUGUUGAAAAAUUAGCGGAUGACUUGUGGCUGGGGGUGAAAGGCCAAUCAAACCGGGAGAUAGCUGGUUCUCCCCGAAAGCUAUUUAGGUAGCGCCUCGUGAACUCAUCUUCGGGGGUAGAGCACUGUUUCGGCUAGGGGGCCAUCCCGGCUUACCAAACCGAUGCAAACUCCGAAUACCGAAGAAUGUUAUCACGGGAGACACACGGCGGGUGCUAACGUCCGUCGUGAAGAGGGAAACAACCCAGACCGCCAGCUAAGGUCCCAAAGUCAUGGUUAAGUGGGAAACGAUGUGGGAAGGCACAGACAGCCAGGAUGUUGGCUUAGAAGCAGCCAUCAUUUAAAGAAAGCGUAAUAGCUCACUGGUCGAGUCGGCCUGCGCGGAAGAUGUAACGGGGCUAAACCAUGCACCGAAGCUGCGGCAGCGACACUUAGGUGUUGUUGGGUAGGGGAGCGUUCUGUAAGCCGUUGAAGGUGACCUGUGAGGGUUGCUGGAGGUAUCAGAAGUGCGAAUGCUGACAUAAGUAACGAUAAUGCGGGUGAAAAACCCGCACGCCGGAAGACCAAGGGUUCCUGUCCAACGUUAAUCGGGGCAGGGUGAGUCGACCCCUAAGGCGAGGCUGAAAAGCGUAGUCGAUGGGAAACAGGUUAAUAUUCCUGUACUUGGUGUUACUGCGAAGGGGGGACGGAGAAGGCUAGGCUGGCCGGGCGACGGUUGUCCCGGUUUAAGCGUGUAGGGGGAGUGACCAGGUAAAUCCGGUUGCUUAUCAACCCUGAGGCGUGAUGACGAUGCACCACGGUGCAGAAGCAGUUGAUGCCAUGCUUCCAGGAAAAGCCUCUAAGCAUCAGGUAACAUUAAAUCGUACCCCAAACCGACACAGGUGGUCAGGUAGAGAAUACUCAGGCGCUUGAGAGAACUCGGGUGAAGGAACUAGGCAAAAUGGUGCCGUAACUUCGGGAGAAGGCACGCUGGCGUUAGGUGAAAGGACUAGCUCCUGGAGCUGAAGCCAGUCGCAGAUACCAGCUGGCUGCAACUGUUUAAUAAAAACACAGCACUGUGCAAACACGAAAGUGGACGUAUACGGUGUGACGCCUGCCCGGUGCUGGAAGGUUAAUUGAUGGGGUCAGCCGCAAGGGGAAGCUCUUGAUCGAAGCCCCAGUAAACGGCGGCCGUAACUAUAACGGUCCUAAGGUAGCGAAAUUCCUUGUCGGGUAAGUUCCGACCUGCACGAAUGGCGUAAUGAUGGCCAGGCUGUCUCCACCCGAGACUCAGUGAAAUUGAACUCGCUGUGAAGAUGCAGUGUACCCGCGGCAAGACGGAAAGACCCCGUGAACCUUUACUAUAGCUUGACACUGAACAUUGAGCCUUGAUGUGUAGGAUAGGUGGGAGGCCUUGAAGUGUGGACGCCAGUCUGCAUGGAGCCAACCUUGAAAUACCACCCUUUAAUGUUUGAUGUUCUAACUCGGCCCCAUGAUCUGGGGUGAGGACAGUGUCUGGUGGGUAGUUUGACUGGGGCGGUCUCCUCCCAAAGAGUAACGGAGGAGCACGAAGGUUAGCUAAUCACGGUCGGACAUCGUGAGGUUAGUGCAAAGGCAUAAGCUAGCUUGACUGCGAGAGUGACGGCUCGAGCAGGUACGAAAGUAGGUCUUAGUGAUCCGGUGGUUCUGAAUGGAAGGGCCAUCGCUCAACGGAUAAAAGGUACUCCGGGGAUAACAGGCUGAUACCGCCCAAGAGUUCAUAUCGACGGCGGUGUUUGGCACCUCGAUGUCGGCUCAUCACAUCCUGGGGCUGAAGUAGGUCCCAAGGGUAUGGCUGUUCGCCAUUUAAAGUGGUACGCGAGCUGGGUUUAGAACGUCGUGAGACAGUUCGGUCCCUAUCUGCCGUGGGCGUUGGAAGAUUGAGAGGGGCUGCUCCUAGUACGAGAGGACCGGAGUGGACGAAUCACUGGUGUUCGGGUUGUCAUGCCAAUGGCAUUGCCCGGUAGCUAAAUUCGGAAGAGAUAACCGCUGAAAGCAUCUAAGCGGGAAACUUGCCUCGAGAUGAGUCUUCCCUGGGGCUUAAAGCCCCCUGAAGGAACGUUAAAGACUAUGACGUUGAUAGGCUGGGUGUGUAAGUGCAGCGAUGUAUUGAGCUAACCAGUACUAAUGAUCCGUGAGGCUUAACCUU